This 432-nucleotide ribosomal RNA is filed under the name uncultured bacterium. Its description in RNAcentral is "partial 16S ribosomal RNA". It matches the Rfam family "Bacterial small subunit ribosomal RNA", at positions 29 to 506 of the family's 1533-position model. The record is from RNAcentral.
AACGAACGCUGGCGGCAUGCCUAACACAUGCAAGUCGAACGAGACCUUCGGGUCUAGUGGCGCACGGGUGCGUAACGCGUGGGAAUCUGCCCUUGGGUUCGGCAUAACAGUUGGAAACGUCUGCUAAUACCGGAUGAUGACGUAAGUCCAAAGAUUUAUCGCCCAAGGAUGAGCCCGCGUAGGAUUAGCUAGUUGGUGAGGUAAAGGCUCACCAAGGCGACGAUCCUAAGCUGGUCUGAGAGGAUGAUCAGCCACACUGGGACUGAGACCCGGCCCAAACCCCUCGGGGAGGCCGCAGUGGGGAAUAUGGGACACUGGGCGAGAGACUGAUGCAGCAAGGCCGCGAGAGUGAUGAAGGCCUUAGGGUUGUAAAGCUCUUUUACCCGGGAUGAUAAUGACAGUACCGGGAGAAUAAGCUCCGGCUACCUCCGG